Molecule: small RNA, 76 nt
Filed under: Flavobacterium noncentrifugens
Lineage: Bacteria; Pseudomonadati; Bacteroidota; Flavobacteriia; Flavobacteriales; Flavobacteriaceae
Description: Flavo-1 RNA
Rfam family: Flavo-1 RNA
Source: Rfam by way of RNAcentral
CCCUAGCCCUGAUGGAAGCGGCAUCCUUUUGUGCAGCAAAGCGGAACAAAAGAUACAGCGGACAGCAGGAAACAGC